GAGGGUAUAGCUCAAGCGGUAGUGAUAGAGCUCAUGCUUAGCAUGCGUGAGGUCCUGGGUUCAAUCCCCAGUACCUCCU
This 79-nucleotide transfer RNA is filed under the name Camelus bactrianus (Bactrian camel). It matches the Rfam family "tRNA". From Rfam's summary of the family: Transfer RNA (tRNA) molecules are approximately 80 nucleotides in length. The record is from Rfam by way of RNAcentral. RNAcentral also lists the same sequence under 1 other name. Lineage: Eukaryota; Metazoa; Chordata; Mammalia; Artiodactyla; Camelidae.